GGCCAGACUCCUACGGGAGGCAGCAGUGAGGAAUAUUGGUCAAUGGGCUUACGCCUGAACCAGCCAAGUCGCGUGAGGGAAGACUGCCCUAUGGGUUGUAAACCUCUUUUGUCAGGGAGCAACGCCGGCUACGUGUAGCCGGACUGAGAGUACCUGAAGAAAAAGCAUCGGCUAACUCCGUGCCAGCAGCCGCGGUAAUACGGAGGAUGCGAGCGUUAUCCGGAUUUAUUGGGUUUAAAGGGUGCGUAGGCGGGCUGUUAAGUCAGCGGUGAAAUGUCGGGGCUCAACCCCGGCCUGCCGUUGAAACUGGCGGCCUCGAGUGGGCGAGAAGUAUGCGGAAUGCGUGGUGUAGCGGUGAAAUGCAUAGAUAUCGCGCAGAACUCCGAUUGCGAAGGCAGCAUGCCGGCUCCACACUGACGCUGAGGCACGAAAGCGUGGGUAUCGAACAGGAUUAGAUACCCUCGUAA
This 467-nucleotide ribosomal RNA is filed under the name uncultured bacterium. Its description in RNAcentral is "bacterial SSU rRNA". It matches the Rfam family "Bacterial small subunit ribosomal RNA", at positions 329 to 793 of the family's 1533-position model. The record is from RNAcentral.